This 492-nucleotide ribosomal RNA is filed under the name uncultured bacterium. RNAcentral's name for it is "partial 16S ribosomal RNA". It matches the Rfam family "Bacterial small subunit ribosomal RNA", at positions 29 to 507 of the family's 1533-position model. The record is from RNAcentral.
AGUGAACGCUGGCGGUAGGCCUAACACAUGCAAGUCGAACGGCAGCACAGUAAGAGUUUGCCUUUACGGGUGGCGAGGGGCGGACGGGUGAGGAAUACAUCAGAAUCUUCUUUUACGGGGGGGACAACGUAGGAACACUGACGCUAACACCGCACACUACGUACGGGUUAAUGCAGGAGAGCUUGAUACUUUGCCUGUUGCUAUGAGCUGGUGUCGUAUUAGCUAGUUGGGGAGGUAAGGGCACACCAAGGCCACGAUCCGUAGCUUGUCUGAGAGGAUGAUCAGCCACACUGGAACUGAGACACGGUCCAGACUCCUACGGGAGGCAGCAGUGGGGAAUAUUGGACAAUGGGCGCAAGCCUGAUCCAGCCAUACCGCGUGAGUGAAGAAGGCCUUCGGGUUGUAAAGCCCUUUUGUUGGGAAAGAAAAGCAGCAGGUUAAUACCCCGCUGUUCUGACGGUACCCAAAGAAUAAGCACCGGCUAACUUCGUG